This 824-nucleotide ribosomal RNA is filed under the name gamma proteobacterium BAL383. RNAcentral's name for it is "bacterial SSU rRNA". It matches the Rfam family "Bacterial small subunit ribosomal RNA", at positions 50 to 870 of the family's 1533-position model. The record is from RNAcentral. Lineage: Bacteria; Pseudomonadati; Pseudomonadota; Gammaproteobacteria.
UACACAUGCAGUCGAGCGGAUGAAGAGAGCUUGCUCUCUGAUUCAGCGGCGGACGGGUGAGUAAUGCCUAGGAAUCUGCCUGAUAGUGGGGGACAACGUUUCGAAAGGAACGCUAAUACCGCAUACGUCCUACGGGAGAAAGCAGGGGACCUUCGGGCCUUGCGCUAUCAGAUGAGCCUAGGUCGGAUUAGCUAGUUGGUGAGGUAACGGCUCACCAAGGCGACGAUCCGUAACUGGUCUGAGAGGAUGAUCAGUCACACUGGAACUGAGACACGGUCCAGACUCCUACGGGAGGCAGCAGUGGGGAAUAUUGGACAAUGGGCGAAAGCCUGAUCCAGCCAUGCCGCGUGUGUGAAGAAGGUCUUCGGAUUGUAAAGCACUUUAAGUUGGGAGGAAGGGCAUUAACCUAAUACGUUAGUGUUUUGACGUUACCGACAGAAUAAGCACCGGCUAACUUCGUGCCAGCAGCCGCGGUAAUACGAAGGGUGCAAGCGUUAAUCGGAAUUACUGGGCGUAAAGCGCGCGUAGGUGGUUUGUUAAGUUGAAUGUGAAAGCCCCGGGCUCAACCUGGGAACUGCAUCCAAAACUGGCAAGCUAGAGUAUGGCAGAGGGUGGUGGAAUUUCCUGUGUAGCGGUGAAAUGCGUAGAUAUAGGAAGGAACACCAGUGGCGAAGGCGACCACCUGGGCUAAUACUGACACUGAGGUGCGAAAGCGUGGGGAGCAAACAGGAUUAGAUACCCUGGUAGUCCACGCCGUAAACGAUGUCGACUAGCCGUUGGGAUCCUUGAGAUCUUAGUGGCGCAGCUAACGCAUUAAGUCGACC